RNAcentral lists this ribosomal RNA (420 nucleotides) under uncultured eukaryote. RNAcentral describes it as "eukaryotic LSU rRNA". It matches the Rfam family "Eukaryotic large subunit ribosomal RNA", at positions 972 to 1388 of the family's 3401-position model. The record is from RNAcentral.
CCCAGGAUAGCUGGAACUCAUGAUAGUUUUUAUCAGGUAAAAGCGAAUGAUUAGAAGUUUUGGGGAUGAAACAUCCUCGGCUUAUUCUCAAACUUUAAAUAGGUAAGAUUAUUCAUUUACUUUAGUGAAUUGAGUAAUCGAAUAAAGAGUUCUUAGUGGGCCAUUUUUGGUAAGCAGAACUGGCGAUGUGGGAUGAACCAGACGUUAAGAUAAAGUGCCAAAGAUUUCGCUCAUCAGACACCAUAAAAAGGUGUUAAUUCAUAUCGACAGUAGGACGGUGGCCAUGGAAGUCGGAAUCCGCUAAGGAGUGUGUAACAACUCACCUACCGAAUGAAUUAGCCCUGAAAAUGGAUGGCGCUUAAGCGAUACACUUAUACUUAACCCAUAAAAAAUUUAGUGCAGUUUUUAUGGAGUAGGAGG